GAUGAACGCUGGCGGCGUGCCUCAAACAUGCAAGUCGAGCGGGGCUAUGUAAUAUCGCAAGGUAGAACAUAGCCUAGCGGCGAACGGGUGAGUAACACGUGGGUAACCUGCCUGGAAGACAGGGAUAACGAUUCGAAAGGGUCGCUAAUACCUGAUAAUAUCCUUUCAUCGCAUGGUGAUAGGAAGAAAGGGGAAACCCGCUUUCAGAUGGGCCCGCGUCCCAUCAGCUAGUUGGUAAGGUAAAGGCUUACCAAGGCGACGACGGGUAGCCGGUCUGAGAGGAUGUACGGCCACACUGGGACUGAGAUACGGCCCAGACUCCUACGGGAGGCAGCAGUUGGGAAUCUUAGGCAAUGGACGAAAGUCUGACCUAGCGACGCCGCGUGAGGGAAGAAGGCCUUCGGGUUGUAAACCUCUGUCAUGGGGGAAGAAGUAAGUGACGGUACCCCAAGAAGGAAGCCCCUGCUAACUACGUG
RNAcentral lists this ribosomal RNA (476 nucleotides) under uncultured bacterium. Its description in RNAcentral is "bacterial SSU rRNA". It matches the Rfam family "Bacterial small subunit ribosomal RNA", at positions 28 to 507 of the family's 1533-position model. The record is from RNAcentral.